RNAcentral lists this ribosomal RNA (482 nucleotides) under uncultured bacterium. RNAcentral describes it as "partial 16S ribosomal RNA". It matches the Rfam family "Bacterial small subunit ribosomal RNA", at positions 29 to 505 of the family's 1533-position model. The record is from RNAcentral.
AUUGAACGCUGGCGGCAUGCUUUACACAUGCAAGUCGAACGGCAGCGCGGGCUUCGGCCUGGCGGCGAGUGGCGAACGGGUGAGUAAUGCAUCGGAACGUGCCCAGUAGUGGGGGAUAGCCCGGCGAAAGCCGGAUUAAUACCGCAUACGACCUGAGGGUGAAAGCGGGGGACCGAAAGGCCUCGCGCUAUUGGAGCGGCCGAUGUCGGAUUAGCUAGUUGGUGGGGUAAAGGCUUACCAAGGCGACGAUCCGUAGCUGGUCUGAGAGGACGACCAGCCACACUGGGACUGAGACACGGCCCAGACUCCUACGGGAGGCAGCAGUGGGGAAUUUUGGACAAUGGGGGCAACCCCGAUCCAGCCAUGCCGCGUGCGGGAAGAAGGCCUUCGGGUUGUAAACCGCUUUUGUUCGGGAAGAAAUCCUCUGGGCUAAUACCCCGGGGGGAUGACGGUACCGGAAGAAUAAGCACCGGCUAACUACG